AAGUCGUAACAAGGUUUCCGUAGGUGAACCUGCGGAAGCCAACGUUAAACCCCCUGUGAACCUUUAUUGCGAGUCACGCCUUUGUUAAUCCCUGGUAAAUCAUCGCCGAACAGUUUUGAUUCAGGGAUCUGCGAAGAGAGCGGUUGAAGCGCGAGGUAAGUCUGGCAUCACUCUGCUUGUUAGUGUCGGAAAGUGCCACUAUGUUCGAGUUUGGUGGCCGCACAAUUAAGCGCAGGCCCGUUUUCAUGCAAAGGUGAUAGGGGGCUACGCCCGGUGACCCGGUCGCCGGCCGUGUCGGCCUCCAGCGAUCGUGACUGCGCCAUCCGUACAACUGUUAACAAUGGAUAUCUUGGUUCUC
RNAcentral lists this unclassified non-coding RNA (358 nucleotides) under fungal sp. RNAcentral's name for it is "partial internal transcribed spacer region". The record is from RNAcentral. Lineage: Eukaryota; Fungi.